GGCACUGGAUAACCUCCAUAUGGGGCAUAUGGAGCAGGUGGCGGCAUGUACCCAGGUGCUCCCCAAAUUGGUGCUGGGGGUGGAUACGGAGCAGGGUUUGCAUAGACAGUGUGGGUAUAGUCGCCUCCCGUCCGCAUGCGCUUACUUUGGUCGAAGGAGCUGGUGUCAGCUGCCACACCUCUUUUGACAUAAAGAUUCUUCUUAGCCAUCUCGACAUGAAGCACCGAAUUCAUCGCCGAAUCAAAGAGCAAGUUCUCGACGGCCGCUUUGGCGCCCAAUGCAUUCUGGGAAGUGGAGAAGAG
This 302-nucleotide unclassified non-coding RNA is filed under the name Hevea brasiliensis (rubber tree). Lineage: Eukaryota; Viridiplantae; Streptophyta; Magnoliopsida; Malpighiales; Euphorbiaceae. The record is from RNAcentral.